CAGCCGCCGCGGUAAUACGAAGGGGGCUAGCGUUGUUCGGAUUUACUGGGCGUAAAGCGCACGUAGGCGGAUCGAUCAGUCAGGGGUGAAAUCCUGGAGCUCAACUCCAGAACUGCCUUUGAUACUGUCGAUCUCGAGUCCGGAAGAGGUGAGAGGAACUCCUAGUGUAGAGGUGGAAUUCGUAGAUAUUAGGAAGAACACCAGUGGCGAAGGCGGCUCACUGGUCCGAUACUGACGCUGAGGUGCGAAAGCGUGGGGAGCAAACAGGAUUAGAGACCCCAGUAGUCCCUGUCUCUUAUAC
This 301-nucleotide ribosomal RNA is filed under the name uncultured bacterium. Its description in RNAcentral is "partial 16S ribosomal RNA". It matches the Rfam family "Bacterial small subunit ribosomal RNA", at positions 509 to 807 of the family's 1533-position model. The record is from RNAcentral.